This is a non-coding RNA of Danio rerio (zebrafish), 550 nucleotides long. Lineage: Eukaryota; Metazoa; Chordata; Actinopteri; Cypriniformes; Danionidae. The record is from RefSeq and is a predicted model, not a curated record.
GACUCACAAGAGCAUCGGUGGAGAUUUCUCUAAAAAAUGCUGGAGAACAGCAGUUGGGGUUUUGUUGGGGCUGUCUUUGUUUAUUUGCAGAUUGGAGUGGAGCAGAAGAAGGAGAACAGUGGAGAUAUACUUGAAGACCUGGAGCUCAUGAAGCAGGUUGGCAUGGAGCAUGUGAAGGAACAGGGAAACACACUGUAAUGACAAGUGCAUCAUAAUAAAUUAGGUACAGCCUUAAACUUUAAGUUGAGUCAACUGAACUUUAUAAAACAUUUUAAACUUAUACAAUUACAUUUUUACAGAGUAAGUGUCACAGAAGGGACGACAUUCAGUUCAGUAAUAUAACAGGACGUCAGGCUUGGAGACUGGAGACCAAUAGGCAACUGGAUACCACAGACAGCAAACAGGAUGAAGACUAGACGAGGAACCAGGAGACACCUCACUAGGAGAGACACUGGAACUCACAGGAGAUGUGCUUGUGGUGCUUCAGUGAGUGGAAAACCUGGUCUUAAUGGGGCAGUAAGUGGUUGUCAGAUAUUUCCUUCAGAUAGAC